UAGGGAAUCUUCGGCAAAUGGACGGAAAGUCUGACCGAGCAACGCCGCGUGAGUGAAGAAGGUUUUCGGAUCGUAAAGCUCUGUUGUAAGAGAAGAACGAGUGUGAGAGUGGAAAGUUCACACUGUGACGGUAUCUUACCAGAAAGGGACGGCUAACUACGUGCCAGCAGCUGCGGUAAUACGUAGGUCCCGAGCGUUAUCCGGAUUUAUUGGGCGUAAAGCGAGCGCAGGCGGUUAGAUAAGUCUGAAGUUAAAGGCUGUGGCUUAACCAUAGUACGCUUUGGAAACUGUUUAACUUGAGUGCAAGAGGGGAGAGUGGAAUUCCAUGUGUAGCGGUGAAAUGCGUAGAUAUAUGGAGGAACACCGGUGGCGAAAGCGGCUCUCUGGCUUGUAACUGACGCUGAGGCUCGAAAGCGUGGGGAGCAAACAGGAUUAGAUACCCUGGUAGUCCACGCCGUAAACGAUGAGUGCUAGGUGUUAGACCCUUUCCGGGGUUUAGUGCCGUAGCUAACGCAUUAAGCACUCCGCCUGGGGAGUACGACCGCAAGGUUG
Molecule: ribosomal RNA, 552 nt
Filed under: uncultured bacterium
Lineage: Bacteria
Description: bacterial SSU rRNA
Rfam family: Bacterial small subunit ribosomal RNA
Source: RNAcentral